ACGGAAGGCAGCAGUGGGGAAUAUUGCACAAUGGGGGAAACCCUGAUGCAGCGACGCCGCGUGAAGGAAGAAGUAUCUCGGUAUGUAAACUUCUAUCAGCAGGGAAGAAAGUGACGGUACCUGACUAAGAAGCCCCGGCUAACUACGUGCCAGCAGCCGCGGUAAUACGUAGGGGGCAAGCGUUAUCCGGAUUUACUGGGUGUAAAGGGAGCGUAGACGGCAAGACAAGUCUGAAGUGAAAGGCAUGGGCUCAACCUGUGGACUGCUUUGGAAACUGCCUUGCUUGAGUGCCGGAGGGGUAAGCGGAAUUCCUAGUGUAGCGGUGAAAUGCGUAGGUAUUAGGAGGAACACCAGUGGCGAAGGCGGCUUACUGGACGGUAACUGACGUUGAGGCUCGAAAGCGUGGGGAGCAAACAGGAUUAGAUACCCUGGUA
RNAcentral lists this ribosomal RNA (434 nucleotides) under uncultured Blautia sp. RNAcentral describes it as "partial 16S ribosomal RNA". It matches the Rfam family "Bacterial small subunit ribosomal RNA", at positions 341 to 792 of the family's 1533-position model. The record is from RNAcentral. Lineage: Bacteria; Bacillati; Bacillota; Clostridia; Lachnospirales; Lachnospiraceae.